GAACGCGAAGAACCUUACCAGGCCUUGACAUCUAGGAACCCUGAUGAAAGUCGGGGGUGCCCGCAAGGGAACCUAGAGACAGGUGCUGCAUGGCUGUCGUCAGCUCGUGUCGUGAGAUGUUGGGUUAAGUCCCGCAACGAGCGCAACCCUUGUCCUUAGUUGCUAACGGGUAAGCCGAGCUCUCUAGGGAGACUGCCCGCGAAAGCGGGAGGAAGGCGGGGAUGACGUCUAGUCCGCAUGGCCCUUACGGCCUGGGCGACACACGUGCUACAAUGCCCGGCACAGAGCGCUGCCACAUCGCAAGAUGGAGCGAAUCGCUAAAUCCGGGCCCAGUUCGGAUUGGGGUCUGCAACCCGGCCCCAUGAAGCUGGAAUCGCUAGUAAUCGCGGAUCAGCCAUGCCGCGGUGAAUACGUUCCCGGGUCUUGUACACACC
Molecule: ribosomal RNA, 434 nt
Filed under: uncultured bacterium
Lineage: Bacteria
Description: bacterial SSU rRNA
Rfam family: Bacterial small subunit ribosomal RNA
Source: RNAcentral